UAUUCAUAUGUACUAUAUAGA
This 21-nucleotide non-coding RNA is filed under the name Caenorhabditis elegans. Lineage: Eukaryota; Metazoa; Nematoda; Chromadorea; Rhabditida; Rhabditidae. The record is from RNAcentral.